AAUGCUAAGGUAAUGGGAAGCAAAUAGGAUUAAAGGAUUGAGCAUUGCAUUUGAAACUGCUCUUACUGCAAACAAGUUCUUUAGCUUGAUCUUUUUGUUUACUUAUAUUAUAUGUAUUUUUUAGAUUGAAGAAAAAGAGUCUCCAUUGGUUCUAUAUUGAUGAGUAAUUCAAUUGUAAAUUAAUAAUUCCCAUUAAUUUUUUUUGUCUUUUGAUUUGUAUUACCCAACAUUAAAUUAUUAGUUAUUGUAUAAUUUAAUAUUUAUAAAUUGUAUAGUAUUUAAUAUUCAGCAUGUGGGUACAAUUAAAAAUAAUUGACAUAAAUUGUGUUAUUGAAUUUGAAAAUUUUAUAAUGU
This 354-nucleotide long non-coding RNA is filed under the name Lathyrus oleraceus (garden pea). RNAcentral describes it as "Pisum sativum (pea) long non-coding RNA (PSAT_LNC032415)". The record is from RNAcentral. Lineage: Eukaryota; Viridiplantae; Streptophyta; Magnoliopsida; Fabales; Fabaceae.